ACCUGGCUGGUUCAGUCGGUGGAGCGUGUGACUCCUGAUCUUGGGUUUGUGGGUUCAAGCCCCACAUUGGGUG
This 73-nucleotide transfer RNA is filed under the name Mustela putorius furo (domestic ferret). It matches the Rfam family "tRNA". Rfam says of the family: Transfer RNA (tRNA) molecules are approximately 80 nucleotides in length. The record is from Rfam by way of RNAcentral. Lineage: Eukaryota; Metazoa; Chordata; Mammalia; Carnivora; Mustelidae.